Molecule: ribosomal RNA, 497 nt
Filed under: uncultured bacterium
Lineage: Bacteria
Description: partial 16S ribosomal RNA
Rfam family: Bacterial small subunit ribosomal RNA
Source: RNAcentral
GAUGAACGCUGGCGGCGUGCCUAAUACAUGCAAGUCGAGCGAACAGACGAGGAGCUUUCUCCUCUGACGUUAGCGGCGGACGGGUGAGUAACACGUGGAUAACCUACCUAUAAGACUGGGAUAACUUCGGGAAACCGGAGCUAAUACCGGAUAAUAUAUUUAACCGCAUGGUUCAAUAGUGAAAGACGGUUUUGCUGUCACUUAUAGAUGGAUCCGCGCCGCAUUAGCUAGUUGGUAAGGUAACGGCUUACCAAGGCGACGAUGCGUAGCCGACCUGAGAGGGUGAUCGGCCACACUGGAACUGAGACACGGUCCAGAUUCCUACGCGAGGCCGACGUGGGGAAUUUUCGACAUUGGGCGAAAGCCUGACGGAGCAAAGUCGCAUGUGUAAUGAAGGGCUUCGGAUAGAAACACUCUCUUAUUAGGGAAGAACAAAUGUGUAAGUAACUAUGCACGUCAUGACGGUAACUGAUCAGAACGCAACGGCGAACUACGUU